This 232-nucleotide ribosomal RNA is filed under the name uncultured Actinomycetales bacterium. RNAcentral describes it as "partial 16S ribosomal RNA". It matches the Rfam family "Bacterial small subunit ribosomal RNA", at positions 105 to 334 of the family's 1533-position model. The record is from RNAcentral. Lineage: Bacteria; Bacillati; Actinomycetota; Actinomycetes; Actinomycetales.
GACGAGGUGAGUAACACGUGGGUGAUCUGCCCUGCACUCUGGGAUAAGCCUGGGAAACUUGGGUCUAAUACCGGAUAGGACCAUGCUUUAGUGUGUGUGGUGGAAAGUUUUUUCGGUGUAGGAUGAGCCCGCGGCCUAUCAGCUUGUUGGUGGGGUAACGGCCUACCAAGGCGGCGACGGGUAGCCGGACUGAGAGGUUGGUCGGCCACAUUGGGACUGAGAUACGGCCCAG